GAUUGAACGUCUUUUACAUCAUAAUAUGUGAACACCUGAGAUGAAGUGAAGAAGACACAUUUUAUUUUUGACGCUAUAUGUUUUAUUAUGCCAUCAGCAAGCGAGCCAUCGAUCGUGACAUCGACACAACUUUUCCCCCUGAGAGAUUGCCACUGUGGUUAAGAGCUACCAGCAAGAACUUCAGGAGCUCCAGCAGAACGUGAUGAUGCAGGAGGGAAGGGAAGUGGGCAUGUUUACUAAAAAUGCUGGAUGACAGGACCGUUGCAGCGCAGCAGAUCAGGACAGGACGAAAUUAAGCACUCUCUCCACGUCUCCAUCUGCUUGUGUCCUCUGGUUGGGACGUGUUCUGGUCUCCGGCAUG
Entelurus aequoreus (snake pipefish) is the source of this 361-nucleotide long non-coding RNA. RefSeq lists it as uncharacterized. The transcript has 3 exons. NCBI's taxonomy places the organism in Eukaryota, Metazoa, Chordata, Actinopteri, Syngnathiformes, Syngnathidae. The record is from RefSeq and is a predicted model, not a curated record.